CUGACAGUGACUCUGGUCUCAAGUUCAUUUUGCUCAGAACACAAUAAUGAUCUCAGCUGGUCUGAUCAAAGUCUCUGCAGCUCUGCUCUGUGUUGUAGGUCUAAGUGAUGGGAAUGAUGUCAAUCAGACUCCUCUGCUGUGGAGCACUGAGGGUCAGUCUGCGACAAUGAACUGCAGUCACACUAAGGAUGCUACUUUUUACCAGAUGUACUGGUACAGACAGCUGCCUGGAGAAACAAUGAAACUAAUUGUGUUCACAACAACAACCACACCAAAUCACGACUUUGGAGAUUUCAGCAAAGACAAAUUCUCAGCCACUAAGCCUGAUGUUGAGACCGGGACAUUCACAGUGAAGAAUCUGGUGCCAGAGGAUAAAGGCUUGUAUUUCUGUGCCGUGAGUAAACACAGUGAUACAGACACAUGUGAGAGCUGAACAAAAACCUCAGU
Non-coding RNA from Lates calcarifer (barramundi perch), 447 nucleotides. NCBI's taxonomy places the organism in Eukaryota, Metazoa, Chordata, Actinopteri, Centropomidae. The record is from the annotation of a RefSeq genome assembly.